RNAcentral lists this long non-coding RNA (2433 nucleotides) under Solanum tuberosum (potato). Its description in RNAcentral is "long non-coding RNA (STUB_LNC000049)". The record is from RNAcentral. Lineage: Eukaryota; Viridiplantae; Streptophyta; Magnoliopsida; Solanales; Solanaceae.
UUUCUUACUAAGUUACUUUGGAAUGCAUCGUCGAGAGGCUUCUACCAACUGUAUUUGCAGUAUGGCUGAUUGCAGUUCUUCGAAAGAUGCUCAACUGAUCAUUUUGUAGGAGAAGCAUCUGAAAAAUUGUUAUGCAUUUAUAGAUUGUUGCUCGUAGAUAAUGGUAUUACCAUAUCGCCUGAAGAAUGGUGCUUCCCUAUUGAAAAAUUUCAGGAAAAAAGAGCAAUAUAUCUGAGAAUUUUUCAGAUAUUAGGUGACAUGCUAUAAGUUCUUCAGCAAUGACGCUUGAUAACUAAAUGUACUCGAGAUUUUCUUAGCAAUUUUGUUCUGCUUGUUCGAGCCUAAUAUCAAGAAAAAUAAAUCAUGAAAACUAUAAAUUUUUACACAUGUAAAAAAAAAAUAAGACCAACUAACAAUUAUAUAUAUUUAAGUUGAGGUUUUAAAAUUUCCAUCAUUCAUCCCUGAUCUAAGUUGCGGACUCUUCACUUUCGAUGCCGCACCCGUGUCAAACUCUUCAAAAAUACACUACUUUUGGCGAAUCCGACACACACCUCUUGACAUUUUUAAAGAGUCCGAGCAACAUAGUCCUUGAUUAUGAGACAUGACAAGCAUAAAUACCCAUGGAUCUUAAAAUCAUUUAUCACCUCUAUACAACCAUAAGAAAGUAAAAGAGAGAGAGAUAAAAAGUUAGGAUAAGAAAUUAUACCAAUAUCUUAAUGCAUGAAUUAUGAAUGUUCAACAUAGGCAAACUAAUCACCUUUGCAUUCUUAGAAAAUCACUAUCAAACUGUUAUCAAGUGUAUUUAUCUGAAAUAAAAACCCUCAAAUUUAUUCAUAUAGCUAAAUCGAGAAGCUGUCUGUCGGUAGUCAUUUCGAGACUCUAAUGUUUGAACCUCUAAAAAUGAAAUUGGAAGCUGAAAUUGGAACAUUGUCCUAAUAGCAUGAUCUUGUGGACUCUCUCGUCAAAUAUUUUUUAUGACUGAGAAACUACCGAGAUAAUGGAUUUAUCACAAUGUUGUUAUUCACUUAAAUACAAAAUUUGAUAUAACACCCAAACGUCAAACGUGUGAUGUACACCUAGCACAUUUUCGCGUUCCACAUAGCACAACAUUUACUGUUGAACCAAACCCCUAGAACAUGGGGAUUCUCUUGGCAUUCACCAGUCAUUUUUAAAAAAAAUAAACCGAUUGUUGUUUCAUCAUAGGUACUCUUUUUAUAGAUCAACUAAUUUAGUGAAGAACAAACAAUCCCUUGGUCCCAAAUAACAAGGCAACUUUUACCCUCAUAGAUUAAGAAAAACACUGCAAAUAUUAGAUAGUAAUUUAUUCGAUUAGGUCAUAUGGUAAGACUUUCUCCUACAUGCCAAUUGUGUUUGAAAACAUAAGGUACAAUAGAUGACAUUCUUAUUCCAUACAACUUAAGCUAUCCAUCUAUAAUUGUGGCGGACAAUUAUUCUUUAGGAAAAAAACUAUGCCACAUCUUAUAACUAUGUUUUUCUAUUCAAUACUUUAGUGCUUACUUCCUUUAAUCUUAUUCUUAUUGCUUCCCAAGAGUCAAAACAAUGGAUAAUAGAAUGAUUGGAAAUAACUUAUGACAUAUUUCUCAAAUAUGACCUCAUCUAUGACAUAUUUAAACAAUUGUUUAAAGCCUAAAUAGCCUAAAUUGUAAAUACAAAAUACACCUCUGUGAACUUCUAAAAUAUCUUUUAGUCAUAGCCACUGGCCCUAUUGGUCCUAUUCAUAUGAUUUUUCAUUAAUGAAAUUGCAAUAUCUAAAUAGAGGUGGGGAUGGAGUCACCCUCUAAAACCUAGUGAUAAAUGCGAUAGCUUAUGUGGAAGUUCAUAUGAGCAACUCAAAUCCAAAAGUGGAAUAAAACUGCCUAUCCUCAAAAGUUUCGCAAGCAUAUAAUUCUAAAUCACCAUCAUCUUUUCAUAAAAAAAAAUUAUUUCAUCAAAAGUCACCAUCUAAAUGAAAAUUUGAAUAUAUAACAUAUAAGUAUCAUAAGAAGAACAAAGAAAAAAAAUACCAAAAAGGAACAAUGAAAAAAAAGUAACUUGCUACUGCUUUCCAGAAAAUAUGACAGUAUAUACCUGGAUUUAAUCAUAGAUACCUUCAGGUUCACAAUCAUAAAGAUAACAAGCUCUAAGUGUUUGUUGAAACGUCAGCACCUACAAAGAGAUAAAAAAACAACUAUUAAGAAAGCUGAAAAUAGUAAAAGAACUGUAUCGAAUGCAUACGCUUCUCUGCUAAAAUAUUAUUGAAAGUGAAUAAGGAGAAUUGAAGGCUAUUCUUCUUCUUUUUUCUUUUUUAUAAAAUUGAGGUAGGAAAAAUGGGGAUUAAAUUACAAUGUGGGUGGAGAAUUGAACCUUGGAUGGGAGCUACUGAGAUUCCCCAAACGGAAGGCUGUUCUGUUUUAGCAACAACCAAUGUUUCUG